GAAAGGCGCUUUUGCGUCACUGAUGGAUGGACCCGCGGUGCAUUAGCUAGUUGGUGAGGUAACGGCUCACCAAGGCCACGAUGCAUAGCCGACCUGAGAGGGUGAUCGGCCACACUGGGACUGAGACACGGCCCAGACUCCUACGGGAGGCAGCAGUAGGGAAUCUUCGGCAAUGGACGAAAGUCUGACCGAGCAACGCCGCGUGAGUGAAGAAGGUUUUCGGAUCGUAAAACUCUGUUGUUAGAGAAGAACAAGGAUGAGAGUAAAACGUUCAUCCCUUGACGGUAUCUAACCAGAAAGCCACGGCUAACUACGUGCCAGCAGCCGCGGUAAUACGUAGGUGGCAAGCGUUGUCCGGAUUUAUUGGGCGUAAAGCGAGCGCAGGCGGUUUCUUAAGUCUGAUGUGAAAGCCCCCGGCUCAACCGGGGAGGGUCAUUGGAAACUGGGAGACUUGAGUGCAGAAGGGGAGAGUGGAAUUCCAUGUGUAGCGGUGAAAUGCGUAGAUAUAUGGAGGAACACCAGUGGCGAAGGCGGCUCUCUGGUCUGUAACUGACGCUGAGGCUCGAAAGCGUGGGGAGCGAACAGGAUUAGAUACCCUGGUAGUCCACGCCGUAAACGAUGAGUGCUAAGUGUUGGAGGGUUUCCGCCCU
RNAcentral lists this ribosomal RNA (650 nucleotides) under uncultured bacterium. Its description in RNAcentral is "bacterial SSU rRNA". It matches the Rfam family "Bacterial small subunit ribosomal RNA", at positions 202 to 839 of the family's 1533-position model. The record is from RNAcentral.